GUAGUAAGUGUACAGUUCAUCGCGUCGAUUUCGGCAGAAGCGACACGUCUGCUUUCAAGUUUCAGGUGUCCGUUUAUUAUGGAAGGUGGAAGUAUUGUUUGUUGAAAAGUAUAAAUACUAAUCGUAGUAUCCUACCGAUCAACCCAACAGUCUAAGAAUUAUCAAAAAUGCGGAUCGUUCAAUUGAAGAGAACCCGUUUUGUCAAUAUUUUGCUGGGUCUAAUGUUGUUUGUGAUAAUUGUAUAUGCACUUUUUGUGUUUUCAUCCGAUGACCAGCCUAGCAAUCUGAAAAACUACUGGGCUGCGGCAUCUAAAUCUCGACAGUUACCAGUGAUCAGUGAUGACUUAGGAAACUUUGAGCCACGAAAUGUAGUGGUGAGAAUAGGCCCUGGUGAGGAGGGUAAGGCUCACAUUUUGAGAGAAGAUCAACAAAAUGAUGUACAGCAAUCAGAGUCUGAUUAUGGCAUGAACAUGGUUUGUUCUGAUGAAAUUUCUUUGGAUAGAUCUGUUCACGACACCAGGCCAGCCGAGUGCAAGCGUUGGAAUUAUGCAACUGAUUUGCCAAAAACCAGCGUUAUUAUAGUAUUUCACAAUGAAGGAUGGUCCGUCUUAAUGCGUACCGUACACAGCGUGAUAAAUCGAACACCACCAGAGUUUUUGGAAGAGGUACUUUUGGUUGACGACUAUUCUGACAAAGACAAUUUGAAAGGCGAUCUGGAGUCGUACGUCGAACGAUGGGAUGGUAAAGUACGUCUCAUACGAAAUCAUGAGAGACAGGGCUUAAUAAGAACGAGAUCCAGGGGAGCCCGAGAGGCUACUGGUGAAGUGAUUGUGUUUUUAGAUGCCCAUUGCGAGGUCAACACUAAUUGGUUACCACCAUUACUUGCACCAAUAUAUGUGAACAGCAAGGUGAUGACUGUUCCGGUGAUCGAUGGAAUAGAUCACAAGACUUUCGAAUACAGGCCAGUCUAUCAGGAGGGUCAUUUGUAUCGAGGUAUCUUCGAGUGGGGAAUGUUGUACAAAGAAAACGAGUUGCCCAGGAGAGAGGCGAAAACACGCUCGCAUGAUAGCAUGCCCUAUAAGUCACCAACUCAUGCCGGGGGCCUAUUUGCUAUCAACCGUGAAUAUUUUCUAAGUCUGGGUGGUUACGACGAUGGCCUCUUGGUUUGGGGUGGUGAAAACUUCGAGCUUUCUUUCAAAAUAUGGCAAUGUGGAGGCAGCAUUGAAUGGGUGCCUUGUUCUCACGUCGGGCAUGUUUAUCGGGGCUUCAUGCCUUACACGUUUGGUAAACUGGCUCAAAAGAAGAAAGGCCCUCUGAUCACGAUUAAUUACAAACGGGUGAUUGAAACUUGGUUUGAUGAAAAGCACAAGGAGUUCUUCUAUACAAGAGAACCCUUGGCAAGAUUACUCGAUCAUGGAGAUAUCACAGAGCAGUUAGCUAUGAAAGAAAGGCUACAGUGUAAAGACUUUCAGUGGUUCAUGGAUAACGUGGCCUACGAUGUACUUGACAAAUAUCCAGAAUUGCCGCCAAAUGUUCAUUGGGGAGAGCUUCGCAGUGUUGCCACUGCCUCGUGUCUGGAUACCAUGGGUCACCCUCCACCUAACCUGAUGGGGACUUCUCACUGCCAUGGGUUUGGCAAUAAUCAGCUCAUAAGACUCAAUGCCAAAGGGCAAUUGGGUGUUGGAGAACGUUGCAUAGAAGCUGAUGGAGAGAGUGUAAAAUUAGCGUUUUGUAGGCUUGGGACUGUCGAUGGACCCUGGCAGUACGACGAGAAAACAAAAACUCUUAUGCACAGGGUGCAUAAAAAGUGUAUGGCAUUACAUCCCCAGACACAGCAUUUAUCUUUGAUGCCCUGUGACGUUAAUAAUACUUAUCAACAGUGGACCUUCCAUCAAAUGCAUCCACGCUGGUGAGUUGACUGGGACCACCAGCCUUUCAAUGAGCCUUCAGCAUCCAAUAAUCGUCCUGAAUACAUGAACAAUCGAUUAACUUCUCGCGAAGGAUACCUUCCACUAUUGCCAGAGAAGAAUGGUUCUGCCAUUGUGCUGAUGGGAAAUACUGUUUUAACAAAGAAUAGACACCAAUGAAGGACAAAGUGGGAUCACGAAGAAACGUAAUUGUUGAAUUACGACAUGUAGUACGUACGUAUUCUAUUAUUUAUUCCGUUGUAAUAAGCGUUGACGAUUAGUGGUGAUUGCGUCCAUCUGGAAUGGUCGAUUAAUUAGGCUCAAAUACUGAGAUUAUUAAGUUUUUCUUACUCUUAUUUGUAAUGUGAUUUUAUUGAUCCUAUUAUACACACGAAUUUCUAUUUCGGUAGGUUCGUAACUCCGCGAAAUUUUUCCAUUGACUGAAACUUCGAAGUCUAUUCAUAUUUCCAAAAUGGUCGUACCUGUAAAUUUUCAGCUAAAACGAAUUUUCAUUAUUUGAUUUUUUUGAAACCAUGCAAUCGUCAUUCACGAUAGAUUUCUAACUUCUUGAUUCUAGAUCAUAUACCUUUCUGUAAUACUGAUCCACUUGUGAUUCAGUUUUUAAAUAAUCCGGGCUUCCAGUUAGUAUCAGUAUGCUAUUCAAUUUGUAGAUUGCAUAAUUUUUGGUAAAGUCGUCCAUCCAUUCUGCCUCAUCUAUCAAUUCUUCCAAAGCGUCUCUCAACUUUUCCAUCAUUUCCUGCGCCCUUUUGAUUCUUUCUUCGCUAACAUAUUUUUCUCGGUAUUUUUGUGCGACGGUGAAGCUCAGUCCGAUUUUCGGAAAAUCUAAAACCUUCAGCAUUCAACAGUUGACCAGAUGUUUGAAAUUUAAAAAAAUAUAAAUUCUUUAAAAUUAGUUCGGCACUGUUGAGUACCCCAUCAGUUCAAACAAACUAAAAUUGUACUAAGAAAUGAGACGCACAAUCGAUGGUCGAAUGCAGCGAAAAUAAAACAUUGAUUUAUCACGAAAUUAGACCUUGUGGAGACAAUACUUCCAUGUUGGAUAACCUGGAGGCACGUAUCCGCGAUUUAUGUAGAAAUCCAUUGAAAUAUUGUACAUUUCUGAUGACAAUUCAGGUGCCAUAAAAGUGACCAUCCGACUAUAGACGAAAUCAUCUGGAAAUUAUUCGUAAUUUCUUUUACUCCGAUAUUAAAAUUAUACCAGGAAUAUUCCUUUAUUGUUACUCUAUUUUACUAUAGUAACUUCGAGGAAGAGAUUCGCGAUGCGACCUCGAGGCUGGUCGCAUAUUUUUAUUUCGUUGUACUUACUCAACAGCUCCUUUCCCGUUUCGUGCGCGUAUAUUAACAAGUUACGCAACAGACUUCGAUUCGUGAUAAAAAUCUGCGUGUCAUUGUUCACUUUGACCCUAGACUUUUUGAAGGCGAUCUGUAGAUACGUUCUCCAAUUAAUCUGUAUGAUUGGGGAAAAAAAACACUACGAAUAAAAAAUUUAUGACAGUUUUGACAACUUAUCAAAGCUGGAUUAUCAUUGUGUUCGAUCACGAAGAUGGAAGAAAAAUAAUCGAAAAUAAACAAAUACAGAUUCUCAUCCGCUCACCGUGUCGGUAAAUUGAUCCAGUACUUCGUCUGUCCAAGCUUGUAAUUUUGCCAACGUCGUACUUCCUACGUUAGGAAUAUUAGUCUUCGCGGUAUCUCUGCCGUAAUUUAAUUCCUAAGACAAAACCCCAGGGAUAUUUUUAUUAUUCAAUAAUUCUGAUUGCUUUAAUCGAAAAGGAUCUGAUCAAUCAGAAAGAGGUAUUUUGAAUACGGUACCUUUGGAUCCGCCAAGACGUUCAUGAAUUCGUUGAUACUUCUCGCUUUCGCGCUGAUUUCAUAAUCGCUGAUGUCACUUUCAGUAAAAUCCCGCAAUAUGAUCAUAAUUUUUGACAAAUAUUCGAUAAAGGUAGAGUCGGUUCUACUAGAAAAAUCAUUGUCCAAAAUCCGUACUGGUUGUCGCAGCAAUGCAGUAGGUAAUGUCAAAUCAUCGUGCUCGAUCUAGAUGGGUAAUAUGUUUUCACUUGUGCCGCAACAAGGGGAACUUCGGUUAUUCUGAAGUAUUUCUCUUAUACGGUACGAAAUGCUUAUUGUUGUACAAAAUGCACUUGAAACUUGAAAUUUGAUUUAAAAAAGGCGACGCAGAAUUAUGCUCUUAUACAUACAUAUAUCGAAGUUUUCGUUGCAUUCCACAUAUCAGUUCGAACUGUUAGUUUGAAAAAAAAUUGCACGCCAUAAUUAGCAACGAAUCUAGCCAUUCUUUGCCAAUCGGCCGAAGUUAUUUUAGACAUCGUACUCUCCUCAUUUUUUUUAGGCCAAAUUUCUUCCAAUACUUUUAACAUUGGUGAAAUUCCUCUCCUAUCACGAGUUUUUGUAUCUAUACAAGCUGCGUACAUGUCCUGGGCUUUUACAAAAGACUUUGAAUCUCCCACAGAUCUUUCGUUCUCCAAUAAUUCUGUGGAUAAAUAUGCAUAAAGUUUGAUUUUUUUUUAAUUCCAUAUGUCCAAAACCAUAAAUAAAUUAUUUUACGUUUAGCAUCUCCAAUUUUAAUUUGUCAUUCAAACAAAAAUGUACCUUUCAAUCGUUCAUCGACUUCUCUUUGCAAUCUGAUAAACCCGUCCCAAAUACUAUACCCCUCGGGGACAGGAUGUACAUUUUGAAAAUUUCCACAAGCAAAAGUGUAAAAAUCAUCACAGGGAUUCUUUGAAUAAUCCACGUAUGGAAAAAGAUUAUCCAUCCGUAUCAGAAAGGGCAAUUGAAUGAAAAUGGUCACGACGAUCAACCUUGAAACGCGUAAAGAAGACGAAUAAUGAUUAGUUUUUUUACAGACCAUGUUGAUAACGUUGGAAUAAUCACAGAAUCUGAUGAUGUUGCGUAGAAAGAAAUAGAAAAUCGAAUUAGGAUCUAUAAGUACCUCAUGGUGUGCAAAUUUGUGGCUGACAAUGAAUGUGUAUUAUUCGUAUUCCUGCACUGCUCUACUGAAGAGCACUAAAACAUUUUUUCCAGUGAAUCCCUUCCACAAACCCGCAAUUUGCGACCAAACAUCGUCAAUGUUAUGAAAAUACGCGGAAUGUAUCUAAAUGUGCAUUUUCUUAUCGCGCCCAAGUAUAACUGGAUUUACAAAUGAACAAUACAUAGAGCUCGAAACUGAUUUUCAUGUCACAUUCACACGACUCUAUAGAAGUGGUGGUCCAUAUCUAAUCGCUGAAAUUGUUACGUUCAAAGAACGGAAGCGACAGAGUGAUACGCGUCUACUCCCGCUGAUUCGUCUCGUACUGUUUAAAUGGAAUCGUAAUUAUGCUUCUUAAUAAUCUAACGUGUAUAAAAGUAAUAUGUAAAAAUUCUGGAGUAAUUACUACUGCCCAUUAUGAUAACAAAAUAAUUUUUCAAUUGAAUACAUUCUUUUGGUACCACAAAUAUUAGAAAUUUUUUGUUUUCUGCAUGCUACGACUUAGGUGGGAAUGAAACGGUAGAUGUAUGUAGUCCGAAAUAUUUUUAAAUUCAUUUUAUUAUAUAAUCUCAUAUGAAUACAAGAAGUGCAUAAGAGUGAAGCAUUUAACGUAGCUUUAGUUGGAAUAAGAGAAUCGACUCCAAGACGUAGAUCCUCAGUAAUAUGUCGAACGUCAACGUAUCGAUAUCGAUUAAUAAUGAAUUGUGUAAAGCGUUAUUCUCGGGAAAAGCCAAUG
This 5644-nucleotide unclassified non-coding RNA is filed under the name Neodiprion lecontei (redheaded pine sawfly). Its description in RNAcentral is "n-acetylgalactosaminyltransferase 7, transcript variant X2". The record is from RNAcentral. Lineage: Eukaryota; Metazoa; Arthropoda; Insecta; Hymenoptera; Diprionidae.